AGUUUGUUUUUGACUAUUUUUAGGUUGGUAUAUUGCCCUUGUAUGAACUACCUAAGUGAAAAAAACUCUGGUAAUCAUCUACAUAACAUAAAAGGGGUACUUCAAACAACUGCUAUGUCACUUAAAUAAACUAAUGCACUGUUAAAAUGCUGAAUAUGAGAACAAAAAUCCCCAACAUUGCAAAACACUGUACAGUGUGUUUGGGACUUUUACCAUUGAAAACCAUUAGACCAUAACAUUGAAACCAUUAGAACUGCUGUAGCCUGAUGGUUUGCUUUUUCAACAGGAAUGGUCUAACUAAUCCAGACCUUUUCUGAAGGGAAUAAACCACACACACGGUUCAUUUCCUGGACACAGAUUAAGCCCAAGAGAAGGACAAACUGAAGGACUGGCUUGAAUUGUGGAACGACACUCAUCCCCGUUUGUUCAAGCUGAACCCAGAAACCGCCCCACAACAGCAACACAGAAUGCCUAAGGGAACGCAUGCAGGAUGACACUAUUUUCCCCCAGAAGUUAUGAAUAAAACACAGUCAAAGUUGAUUGCA
Non-coding RNA from Salvelinus sp. IW2-2015, 545 nucleotides. NCBI's taxonomy places the organism in Eukaryota, Metazoa, Chordata, Actinopteri, Salmoniformes, Salmonidae. The record is from RefSeq and is a predicted model, not a curated record.